UGGGGAAUAUUGCACAAUGGGCGCAAGCCUGAUGCAGCCAUGCCGCGUGUAUGAAGAAGGCCUUCGGGUUGUAAAGCACUUUCAGCGGGGAGGAAGGUGGUAAGGUUAAUAACCUUAUCAAUUGACGUUACCGACAGAAGAAGCACCGGCUAACUCCGUGCCAGCAGCCGCGGUAAUACGGAGGGUGCAAGCGUUAAUCGGAAUUACUGGGCGUAAAGCGCACGCAGGCGGUUUGUUAAGUCAGAUGUGAAAUCCCCGGGCUCAACCUGGGAACUGCAUCUGAUACUGGCAAGCUUGAGUCUCGUAGAGGGGGGUAGAAUUCCAGGUGUAGCGGUGAAAUGCGUAGAGAUCUGGAGGAAUACCGGUGGCGAAGGCGGCCCCCUGGACGAAGACUGACGCUCAGGUGCGAAAGCGUGGGGAGCAAACAGG
RNAcentral lists this ribosomal RNA (429 nucleotides) under Chloroflexota bacterium. RNAcentral's name for it is "Chloroflexi bacterium partial 16S ribosomal RNA". It matches the Rfam family "Bacterial small subunit ribosomal RNA", at positions 355 to 776 of the family's 1533-position model. Lineage: Bacteria; Bacillati; Chloroflexota. The record is from RNAcentral.